RNAcentral lists this long non-coding RNA (1533 nucleotides) under Zostera marina. RNAcentral describes it as "long non-coding RNA (ZMAR_LNC003476)". Lineage: Eukaryota; Viridiplantae; Streptophyta; Magnoliopsida; Alismatales; Zosteraceae. The record is from RNAcentral.
CCGCUCUUAACAAUAGUGGCGGCAGUUGGUGCAUCCGGUUGCCUUAGUCCCUUUGUCCAUUUUCUUCGAUGUUCUUCAUCGAAGCGGUCCUCUUCGAUUUCUUGAUCUAUUCUUACAGGUUGUGAUCGUCUGUCGUUUGUUCGUUUACGACUCCGUCCGCGUGCUAUUUUCUAAUGGAAUAUUUUCUAAAGGAAUAAAUAAAAUGAAAUUAUUCAAGUCUUCUGAAAUUAUUCAGAUAUUCAAGUCUUAAAUGUAUUCUGUAAUGGUGAUGAAUUCUGUAAGAAGCCUUAAAUCUGCUGAGGAGUCUUUGAGAGAACAGGUAUGCGUGUGUAUAACUUAUUACAACCUUGCAAACACAUGGAUAGUCAGUGAAAUUUUUUCUAAUGUAUGUAUUAAUUAUGUAAGGUUGAGAGAGGAAAGAAAAAGGAAGCUGCAUUCAUAGUGGCAUUUGCUAAAAAAGACAAGGAAAUUUCUGAUUUAAAGGUGAUUCCUUUUUCAAUCUAUACUUGAAAUGUAUUUUAACUAAUGUAUUUUAUUUGUUGAAAUUAUAGUAUGUGGUUCUUGAUCUCCAAGUACAGUUAAAACCUGCUGCUAUUCAGGUAUUUCUCCGAACUAAAAAUAUUAGUUUUACCUAUUAUGUCGUGGUUGGAAAUUUGGUAAAACCCGACCCAUGGCCAUACCUAUAACCACACUAACUAGGUUUUUUUAAUGAGGUUGAGGUUGAUCAAGCAAAUUAUUUUUUUAAAUUGAAUGCAGGCUAGAAGACUACUGUCUGAUCCUACAAUGCAUCAGGAGUACCUACGUUUAAAGGUAAUAUUUACGACGAAAAUACUUGUGGAGUAACAACCAUCUGGAUCAUGUUCAUUUGGAUGUAAAAAAUUGUUUUUUUAAAAUAAAAUAGAACUUAAAUGAGGAAAAAGAUAGAAAGUUGAAAGAGUUGGAGGAAAACACCAAGGCUGUUUACUUCAAUUCAUCAAGCAAGAAGGGAAAAAUGUUAAUGGCAAAAUGCAAAACAUUGCAAGAGGAAAAUGAGAAGAUUGGAGAUUUAUGGUAAAAUUAUUUAAUCAAUACAGUAUAUAUAUUAAUCAAAUCAACCUAGGGUUUAUCUUUUUUUAUAUACUAAAUUCAAUACCCACAACUUUAAUAAUUAGGGUUUAUCUUUAUUAUAUAUAGUUACAUGAGUUGGAGAUGAAGCUUGCAUUGGAAAAAUCGGAAUAUGCAGAAUUUCAACGUAAACAGAAAUAAUCGGUGAAGUAAACAUAUGAAUCAAGAAUAGAAACAAAUCGAUCUUACCUGGAGGUGAAAUAAACGGAAUGGACUGGAGAUAUCGCCGGACAGGAAGUAUCGCUGCUGCUCGCCGGACUGGAGAUAUCGCUGCUGCUCGCUGGACGACUGGAGGUAUCGCUGCUGUCCGCCGGACGACUGGAGGUAUCGCUGCUGCUCGCCGGACAACAGGAAGUAUUAACGGGAGGGAUUGGAGAUAUCGCUGCGAUUUGGGGUUUUUCACUUGAAAACACGAUUUGGGGUUUUUCC